CCUUCUCCUUUUUCCAUGUUCUCUUUUCCUUUCUCUUCUUCUUUUCUUUUCUUUACCAUUUUACGGUUACACCCUUUUUUUCUCAUUCCUUUUUAUUUCAUUUUUUAUCUUCUAUUUCGUUUUCCUUUUUAUUAGUUCAAUUCCUAUUUUGCAUUAUUCUUUUGUUUUAUUUAUUAUUAUCGAUUAUUAUAUUAUUUUCUUUGAUUUUUAGUUUUAUUUUUAAUUUAUUAUUAGUGAUUACAAUAUAUCUAUUUCAUAUUAUUUUAUACUUUAAUUUUCCUUCGGAUACUAAAUUGUUUUGUUUAGGUGUAUUCUAUUAUUCUAUGAAUUCAUGCAAUUUGUUCCAUGUGCAUAACUCUUUUGUUAUUGAAGUUUAUAUAAAUUGUUCUAGAUUUAUAAAUUUUUGUUGUGUGAGUUUGUAUAAUUUGUUUAUACAUUUUUAUU
Molecule: long non-coding RNA, 444 nt
Filed under: Setaria viridis
Lineage: Eukaryota; Viridiplantae; Streptophyta; Magnoliopsida; Poales; Poaceae
Description: long non-coding RNA (SVIR_LNC007615)
Source: RNAcentral